GACAAUGACAAUAAUUGAUAAGUGAUGACCUCGGUGUCUCCGUCCCUGCUUCCACAUCCAAAAGAUCACUGGAUUCAAUCCAAGCCACCAUUUUUGUCAGGCAGUUUCGAGACGAUCCGGCGGGAAGGUGAUGAGCUGAGCAGCUUCUUGAAACGUGUGAGUAGGUAAGUUACUUCGGGCGGGCAAGUCGGCGAGACACUUCGGACGGACAAGUAAACGAGCUACUCGGGACGGGCGAGUGGACGAGAUACUUCGAUCGGGCGAACUGGCGAGCUGUUUGAGACGGGCAAGCUGACGAGCUGUUUGAGACGGACAAGCUGACGAGCUGUUCGAGACGGGCAAGCUGACGAGCUGUUCGAGACGGGCAAGCUGACGAGCUGUUCGAGACGGGCAAGCUGACGAGCUGUUCGAGACGGGCAAGUUGACGAGCUGUUUGAGACGGGCAAGCUGACGAGCUGUUUGAGACGGGCAAGUGGAUGAGAGCUCUUUGUCUCUGCGUGUCAAGCCGGAUCCAGAUCCUUUUGACAGGACAUGCUAUUCCGUAUUUAUAGUACUCUGCGUGUAGGGCACUCCUCUAGGGCUUUGACGAGCCUACCCUCUUGACUUAACAUUCUGCUUAGGCCUUUGAUUUGGAUUUGGGCUUUGGGCCAAGCAAGCCCAAAUCUAACCCCUAACAAAUUCUAACAUUAAUGAUGAAGUUUCGAGAAUUGAGUGACUUACUCGAGAAAGAAUAAUGACAAAUGAAACAGCAAUCGAUUUGUGACAGUUUUUUUUAAUCUUGACAAAAGGUACAAUGUUGGUGUGAGAUGGAGAAAUGAUUUUGUGUUUGCUGAGUUUAGAUCUUGGAAAUGAAAGUGUAUUUAUAGAGUUUGAAAGGAUUGAUAUGGUUUUAGGUUAG
Molecule: small RNA, 898 nt
Filed under: Arabidopsis thaliana (thale cress)
Lineage: Eukaryota; Viridiplantae; Streptophyta; Magnoliopsida; Brassicales; Brassicaceae
Description: putative long intergenic non-coding RNA
Source: RNAcentral